RNAcentral lists this small RNA (81 nucleotides) under Flavobacterium xinjiangense. RNAcentral describes it as "Flavo-1 RNA". It matches the Rfam family "Flavo-1 RNA". The record is from RNAcentral. Lineage: Bacteria; Pseudomonadati; Bacteroidota; Flavobacteriia; Flavobacteriales; Flavobacteriaceae.
UCCUAGGCCAGAUAGAAGUGGAAAUCCGUUUUAUCUGCCUUUUCGGUGAUAUAAAGAUUGUAACGAAUAGCUGGAAUAGCU